RNAcentral lists this long non-coding RNA (318 nucleotides) under Helianthus annuus (common sunflower). RNAcentral's name for it is "sRNA HanXRQr2_Chr08g0356001". Lineage: Eukaryota; Viridiplantae; Streptophyta; Magnoliopsida; Asterales; Asteraceae. The record is from RNAcentral.
AAAAAAAAAAUCUUCGGCACCUUUGUUUCGACUUCCCCUUAUUCGUCAUAAACAUUCCAACUUAACAAACCCAACCACCACAGGACAUACUAUACAAGUGCUUCUGUCUUCCGUCUAUUAGAACCCCACCUUAAGCAACCGACGCAAUUCAAGCAUUACCAGCCGCCAUUCACCGGAUCGACGUAUCACUUAGCCGGCGGCUUAGACUCGCGAUUGAAUCUCACGCUAUUCAAGGACACCUACACUAAUUAUUAAAGGUGCGGAUUCCUUCCUUUACUACCUGUAUAGUAUGGGUUAGCAGGGAUGGCGGGAAAGUGU